UGGGGAAUAUUGGACAAUGGGCGCAAGCCUGAUCCAGCAAUGCCGCGUGAGUGAUGAAGGCCUUAGGGUUGUAAAGCUCUUUCGCACGCGACGAUGAUGACGGUAGCGUGAGAAGAAGCCCCGGCUAACUUCGUGCCAGCAGCCGCGGUAAUACGAAGGGGGCUAGCGUUGUUCGGAAUUACUGGGCGUAAAGGGCGCGUAGGCGGCCUGUUUAGUCAGAAGUGAAAGCCCCGGGCUCAACCUGGGAAUUGCUUUUGAUACUGGCAGGCUCGAGUUCCGGAGAGGAUGGUGGAAUUCCCAGUGUAGAGGUGAAAUUCGUAGAUAUUGGGAAGAACACCGGUGGCGAAGGCGGCCAUCUGGACGGACACUGACGCUGAGGCGCGAAAGCGUGGGGAGCAAACAGG
This 404-nucleotide ribosomal RNA is filed under the name uncultured bacterium. RNAcentral's name for it is "bacterial SSU rRNA". It matches the Rfam family "Bacterial small subunit ribosomal RNA", at positions 355 to 776 of the family's 1533-position model. The record is from RNAcentral.